This 492-nucleotide ribosomal RNA is filed under the name uncultured bacterium. Its description in RNAcentral is "partial 16S ribosomal RNA". It matches the Rfam family "Bacterial small subunit ribosomal RNA", at positions 29 to 507 of the family's 1533-position model. The record is from RNAcentral.
AGUGAACGCUGGCGGUAGGCCUAACACAUGCAAGUCGAACGGCAGCACAGUAAGAGCUUGCUCUUACGGGUGGCGAGUGGCGGACGGGUGAGGAAUACAUCGGAAUCUACUUUUUCGUGGGGGAUAACGUAGGGAAACUUACGCUAAUACCGCAUACGACCUACGGGUGAAAGCAGGGGAUCUUCGGACCUUGCGCGAUUGAAUGAGCCGAUGUCGGAUUAGCUAGUUGGCGGGGUAAAGGCCCACCAAGGCAACGAUCCGUAGCUGGUCUGAGAGGAUGAUCAGCCACACUGGAACUGAGACACGGUCCAGACUCCUACGGGAGGCAACAGUGGGGAAUAUUGGACAAUGGGCGAAAGCCUGAUCCAGCCAUACCGCGUGGGUGAAGAAGGCCUUCGGGUUGUAAAACCCUUUUGUUGGGAAAGAAAAGCAGCAGGUUAAUACCCCGCUGUUCUGACGGUACCCAAAGAAUAAGCAACGGCUAACUUCGUG